Long non-coding RNA from Oncorhynchus tshawytscha (Chinook salmon), 328 nucleotides. Lineage: Eukaryota; Metazoa; Chordata; Actinopteri; Salmoniformes; Salmonidae. The record is from Ensembl.
UACUCUAUAUCUGGUCCAUUAUCUCUUCUACAUACUCUAUAUCUGGUCCAUUAUCUCUUCUGCAUACUCUAUAUCUGGUCCAUUAUCUCUUCUACAUAAUAUAUAUCUGGUCCAUUAUCUCUUCUACAUAAUAUAUAUCUGGUCCAUUAUCUCUUCUACAUACUCUACAUCUGGUCCAUUAUCUCUUCUGCAUACUCUAUAUCUGGUCCAUUAUCUCUUCUACAUAAUAUAUAUCUGGUCCAUUAUCUAUUCUACAUAAUAUAUAUCUGGUCCAUUAUCUCUUCUACAUACUCUACAUCUGGUCCAUUAUCUCUUCUGCAUACUCUAU